GUGCUUGCUUCAGCAGCACACGUACUAAAAUUGAAAUGAUGCAGAUAAUAUUAGCAUGGCCCCCGAACAAGGAUGACACUCAAAUUUGUGAAGCAUUCUGUAUUUUU
Hyaena hyaena (striped hyena) is the source of this 107-nucleotide small nuclear RNA. The record is from RefSeq and is a predicted model, not a curated record. NCBI's taxonomy places the organism in Eukaryota, Metazoa, Chordata, Mammalia, Carnivora, Hyaenidae.